Long non-coding RNA from Pipistrellus kuhlii (Kuhl's pipistrelle), 506 nucleotides. RefSeq lists it as uncharacterized. The transcript is spliced from 3 exons. Lineage: Eukaryota; Metazoa; Chordata; Mammalia; Chiroptera; Vespertilionidae. The record is from RefSeq and is a predicted model, not a curated record.
GAUGGGAGCUUGGGAGUUGACUACCCCUCCCCAGGGCAGACAAGAUGGACAGACAGAGGCCUCUGGAGGCAACUCUAAGCUUGGUGGUUGUGUCAAGGGAACACUGGCCCAAACUACUCACCAGGUGGUCCUGGAUGAGCCUGCAUUUCUCAUCUGGAAAUUGCACUUGGCCAUCCUGCCUGCCGUCUGGGCAGCCUGUUCUACAGCUGUCUGUCUGGUGGUUCUCACAUGGCCUCACCAAGUUUAUAAGCUCCCUGAUGGCAGGGACUUUGUUUUAUUGCUGUACCAAACCCCUUGCACAGUGCCUGGAGCGUGGCCAGCGUGUGGAUGCAUGAGGAAGGACUGCUAUCACCCCUUUUGGCAGAUGAGAAACCAGACCUGGAGAGGUGGCAUGCUGCCCAAGGUCACAGAACCAGCAAGGAUAGUGGAUCUGAGUGUUGUUCCUUCUCUCUGUCAUGUCUCAGGUGUGUGCUUUCUGGGUGGUCGGGUGUGAGUGUGUCUGAGGU